CUAUUCCCAAACAUAUUUGUUUGGUAUGCAUAUCCAAGCAAUAUUAGCUAAAGGGAGUACACAAAGAAGGACACCAUUUUUUCCCUCCCACUCCCCAUCUGUCGUGGAAAACACACAGGUUUUCCUCCACAGGUUGAAAAGAACCUUAUGUCCUUGGAGGACAGACUUACAGUGCAUUGCAACAACAGUGUGAACCUUCUUCCUACUCCUCAACCCACAGUCCUGUUUUGAAGGCUGCAUUCUGAGAAUAGGCUUCACCAUGAUGCUGUUGGAACAUAAGCUACCAUGUUAAACAAGCAUGGCAUGAGGCUGACUAAUCCUGGUGAACUGUGUGGUUAAAUAGCUGCUCCUUAGAAGCAGUAGUGAUUACAAGCCUUGUCCAGCACUACGAAUCAGAAUGUCUUCCCUCUUCUUUUGAAGCUGUCUGUUAAGAAGAUGUGAGUCUUCACCUCAAAGGGCUCUUGAAACGCUGCUAAUUACAAGGGGAUAAUGAGAACUCACCAAUGGAGACCACCUCAAUUAAACAAAAAUCAGUUUAUAUUGAUACAGCAAUUAAUUAUAUAUGACAGAAUAAUUGAAGAAGUUUUCCUUGUGUAUUCAUAGAGAACCUAAACUUAUAUGAAAUUAAGUAUUAGUUGUGGAGCAUUUAAUGAAGAUUAAAAUGAAUUUCAGCUGUAGACUUUAUACAAAAUUUAAAAAAUAAAUUAAGUGGUAAGAAAAUAAUGCAAGUUUUCUGUGAUGAGUAUUCUUUUAUUCAGAGUUGGAGUGGGGACAAUUUAUAUCUCAAUUUCAUUAGUCUUUUUUAAAAAACAAUGUUAAUGAAGUAUAUGGACCAAUGCUCACUAACACUUUGGACACAUAGAAACCCCAGUGGUUUGUUUGAGUUUGCACAAUAUAAAUUUAUGCAUCCCAAAGAACUUGUAAUACUAAUGGCAUUUAUCAGGUAUUGUUUGUAAAGGAUAUGAAUAAUAAUAAUCCAUCUGCUAUAGUCCCUUUUCAGCAGAGGAAUCAUACAAAUUAAUGUUGGCCUGGAUAUAAUCCAUUUAGGAUGAUUCAUGAGAGUCAUAAAAAUGACCUCUCUCUCUUUUUUUAAUUCCCAAGCAAGUGUUUUUCCAUUAAUUAUUUUUCUACUUCUUUUUGUAAGGUCCACUUUGAGGUUCUUUAAUUCUGUCAAAUGUUUUAUGACUAUUUUGAAAAAAUAUCUAACAUCCACAAGACCACCACCAUCAACAACGAGAAACUUCAUAAAAAUCUAAGCUUAUACUCUGGUAUUUAAAG
This 1278-nucleotide long non-coding RNA is filed under the name Homo sapiens (human). Its description in RNAcentral is "HSALNT0335679". The record is from RNAcentral. Lineage: Eukaryota; Metazoa; Chordata; Mammalia; Primates; Hominidae.